GAUGAACGCUGGCGGCGUGCCUAAUACAUGCAAGUCGAGCGAACAGACGAGGAGCUUGCUCCUCUGACGUUAGCGGCGGACGGGUGAGUAACACGUGGAUAACCUACCUAUAAGACUGGGAUAACUUCGGGAAACCGGAGCUAAUACCGGAUAAUAUAUUGAACCGCAUGGUUCAAUAGUGAAAGACGGUUUUGCUGUCACUUAUAGAUGGAUCCGCGCCGCAUUAGCUAGUUGGUAAGGUAACGGCUUACCAAGGCGACGAUGCGUAGCCGACCUGAGAGGGUGAUCGGCCACACUGGAACUGAGACACGGUCCAGACUCCUACGGGAGGCAGCAGUAGGGAAUCUUCCGCAAUGGGCGAAAGCCUGACGGAGCAACGCCGCGUGAGUGAUGAAGGUCUUCGGAUCGUAAAACUCUGUUAUUAGGGAAGAACAAAUGUGUUAGUAACUAUGCACGUCUUGACGGUACCUAAUCAGAAAGCCACGGCUAACUACGUG
This 497-nucleotide ribosomal RNA is filed under the name uncultured bacterium. RNAcentral describes it as "partial 16S ribosomal RNA". It matches the Rfam family "Bacterial small subunit ribosomal RNA", at positions 28 to 507 of the family's 1533-position model. The record is from RNAcentral.